This 2918-nucleotide ribosomal RNA is filed under the name Acinetobacter baumannii. RNAcentral describes it as "23S ribosomal RNA". It matches the Rfam family "Bacterial large subunit ribosomal RNA". Lineage: Bacteria; Pseudomonadati; Pseudomonadota; Gammaproteobacteria; Moraxellales; Moraxellaceae. The record is from RNAcentral.
GUUGUAUAGUCAAGUAAUUAAGUGCAUGUGGUGGAUGCCUUGGCAGUCAGAGGCGAUGAAAGACGUGAUAGCCUGCGAAAAGCUCCGGGGAGGCGGCAAAUAUCCUUUGAUCCGGAGAUGUCUGAAUGGGGGAACCCACCUACUUUAAGGUAGGUAUUGCAACAUGAAUACAUAGUGUUGCAAGGCGAACGAGGGGAAGUGAAACAUCUCAGUACCCUUAGGAAAAGAAAUCAAUUGAGAUUCCCUCAGUAGCGGCGAGCGAACGGGGAUCAGCCCAUUAAGUUAUGUGUGUUUUAGUGGAACGCUCUGGGAAGUGCGAACGUAGAGGGUGAUAUUCCCGUACACGAAAGGGCACACAUAAUGAUGACGAGUAGGGCGAGGCACGUGAAACCUUGUCUGAAUAUGGGGGGACCAUCCUCCAAGGCUAAAUACUCCUGACUGACCGAUAGUGAACCAGUACCGUGAGGGAAAGGCGAAAAGAACCCCUGUGAGGGGAGUGAAAUAGAUCCUGAAACCGCAUGCAUACAAGCAGUGGGAGCACCUUCGUGGUGUGACUGCGUACCUUUUGUAUAAUGGGUCAGCGACUUAUAUUCAGUAGCGAGGUUAACCGUAUAGGGGAGCCGUAGAGAAAUCGAGUCUUAAUAGGGCGUUUAGUUGCUGGGUAUAGACCCGAAACCAGGCGAUCUAUCCAUGAGCAGGUUGAAGGUUGGGUAACACUAACUGGAGGACCGAACCCACUGUCGUUGAAAAGCCAGGGGAUGACUUGUGGAUAGGGGUGAAAGGCUAAUCAAGCCUGGUGAUAGCUGGUUCUCCCCGAAAGCUAUUUAGGUAGCGCCUCGGACGAAUACCAUAGGGGGUAGAGCACUGUUUCGGCUAGGGGGUCAUCCCGACUUACCAAACCGAUGCAAACUCCGAAUACCUAUGAGUACUAUCCGGGAGACAGACUGCGGGUGCUAACGUCCGUAGUCAAGAGGAAAACAAUCCAGACCGCCAGCUAAGGCCCCAAAAUCAUAGUUAAGUGGGAAACGAUGUGGGAAGGCAUAGACAGCUAGGAGGUUGGCUUAGAAGCAGCCACCCUUUAAAGAAAGCGUAAUAGCUCACUAGUCGAGUCGGCCUGCGCGGAAGAUGUAACGGGGCUAAAACUAUGUGCCGAAGCUGCGGAUGUAUACUUUGUAUACGUGGUAGGGGAGCGUUCUGUAAGCCGAUGAAGGUGUGUUGAGAAGCAUGCUGGAGGUAUCAGAAGUGCGAAUGCUGACGUGAGUAACGACAAAACGGGUGAAAAACCCGUUCGCCGAAAGACCAAGGGUUCCAGUCCAACGUUAAUCGGGGCUGGGUGAGUCGACCCCUAAGGCGAGGCCGAAAGGCGUAGUCGAUGGGAAAAUGGUUAAUAUUCCAUUACUUCUGUGUAAUGCGAUGAGAGGACGGAGAAGGCUAAAUCAGCCUGGCGUUGGUUGUCCAGGUGAAAGGAUGUAGGCAUGUAUCUUAGGCAAAUCCGGGGUACUCUAUGCUGAGAUCUGAUAGCAAGCUGUACUUGUACAGCGAAGUGGUUGAUGCCAUGCUUCCAGGAAAAGUCUCUAAGCUUCAGUUACACAGGAAUCGUACCCGAAACCGACACAGGUGGUCAGGUCGAGUAGACCAAGGCGCUUGAGAGAACUCUGCUGAAGGAACUAGGCAAAAUGGUACCGUAACUUCGGGAGAAGGUACGCUGUUGUUGGUGAUGGAACUCGCUUCCUGAGCUGACGACAGCCGCAGAAACCAGGCCGCUGCAACUGUUUAUUAAAAACAUAGCACUCUGCAAACACGAAAGUGGACGUAUAGGGUGUGAUGCCUGCCCGGUGCUGGAAGGUUAAUUGAUGGGGUUAGCGUAAGCGAAGCUCUUGAUCGAAGCCCCAGUAAACGGCGGCCGUAACUAUAACGGUCCUAAGGUAGCGAAAUUCCUUGUCGGGUAAGUUCCGACCUGCACGAAUGGCAUAAUGAUGGCGGCGCUGUCUCCAGCAGAGGCUCAGUGAAAUCGAAAUCGCUGUGAAGAUGCAGUGUACCCGCGGCUAGACGGGAAGACCCCGUGAACCUUUACUGCAGCUUGACACUGAACUUUGACCUUACUUGUGUAGGAUAGGUGGGAGGCUUUGAAGCUGGAACGCUAGUUCCAGUGGAGCCGUCCUUGAAAUACCACCCUGGUAAUGUUGAGGUUCUAACUCUGUCCCGUGAUCCGGGACGAGGACCGUGUCUGGUGGGUAGUUUGACUGGGGCGGUCUCCUCCUAAAGAGUAACGGAGGAGUACGAAGGUGCGCUCAGCGUGGUCGGAAAUCACGCGUAGAGUAUAAAGGCAAAAGCGCGCUUAACUGCGAGACCCACAAGUCGAGCAGGUACGAAAGUAGGUCUUAGUGAUCCGGUGGUUCUGUAUGGAAGGGCCAUCGCUCAACGGAUAAAAGGUACUCUGGGGAUAACAGGCUGAUACCGCCCAAGAGUUCAUAUCGACGGCGGUGUUUGGCACCUCGAUGUCGGCUCAUCUCAUCCUGGGGCUGAAGCAGGUCCCAAGGGUAUGGCUGUUCGCCAUUUAAAGAGGUACGCGAGCUGGGUUUAGAACGUCGUGAGACAGUUCGGUCCCUAUCUACCGUGGGCGCUGGAAAUUUGAGAGGAUCUGCUCCUAGUACGAGAGGACCAGAGUGGACGAACCUCUGGUGUACCGGUUGUGACGCCAGUCGCAUCGCCGGGUAGCUAUGUUCGGAAGGGAUAACCGCUGAAAGCAUCUAAGCGGGAAGCCUACCUCAAGAUAAGAUUUCCCUAGGACUUUAUGUCCUCUAAAGAGCCGUUCGAGACUAGGACGUUGAUAGGUUGGAUGUGGAAGCAUAGUGAUAUGUGAAGCUGACCAAUACUAAUUGCUCGUGAGGCUUGACUAUACAACACCCAAGCAGUUG